GACGAACGCUGGCGGCGUGCUUAACACAUGCAAGUCGAACGGAAAGGCCCUGCUUUUGUGGGGUGCUCGAGUGGCGAACGGGUGAGUAACACGUGAGUAACCUGCCCUUGACUUUGGGAUAACUUCAGGAAACUGGGGCUAAUACCGGAUAGGAGCUCCUGCUGCAUGGUGGGGGUUGGAAAGUUUCGGCGGUUGGGGAUGGACUCGCGGCUUAUCAGCUUGUUGGUGGGGUAGUGGCUUACCAAGGCUUUGACGGGUAGCCGGCCUGAGAGGGUGACCGGCGACAUUGGGACUGAGAUACGGACCAGACUCCUACGGGAGGCAGCAGUGGGGAAUAUUGCGCAAUGGGCGGAAGCCUGAUGCAACAACGCCGCGUGCGGGAUGACGGCCUUCGGGUUGUAAACCGCUUUCGCCUGUGACGAAGCGUGAGUGACGGUAAUGGGUAAAGAAGCACCGGCUAACUACGUG
RNAcentral lists this ribosomal RNA (468 nucleotides) under uncultured bacterium. RNAcentral describes it as "partial 16S ribosomal RNA". It matches the Rfam family "Bacterial small subunit ribosomal RNA", at positions 28 to 507 of the family's 1533-position model. The record is from RNAcentral.